Molecule: long non-coding RNA, 1221 nt
Filed under: Pan troglodytes (chimpanzee)
Lineage: Eukaryota; Metazoa; Chordata; Mammalia; Primates; Hominidae
Description: long non-coding RNA NONPTRT004644
Source: RNAcentral
CACAGAUGAGACCUCCAUAGUCACACAGCGACCUCCACAGCCACAUGCGACGUGACCUCCAUAGUCACACGAAGACCUCCAAAGCCACGUGGACGAGACCUCCAUAGUCACACACGACCUCCACAGCCACAUGGGACCAUGGGACGUGACCACCAUAGUCACCCAAAGACCUCCAUAGCCACACAGACGAGACCUCCAUAGUCACACAGCGACCUCCACAGCCACACAGACGAGACCUCCAUAGUCACACAGCGACCUCUACAGCCACAUGGGACUCGACCUCCAUAGUCACACAGAGACCUCCACAGCCACAUGGGACAUGACCUCCAUAGUCACACAAAGACCUCCACAGCCACGUGGACAAGACCUCCAUAGUCACACACGACCUCCACAGCCACAUGGGACCAUGGGACGCGACCUCCAUAGUCACACAGAGACCUCCACGGCCACAUGGACGAGACCUCCAUAGUCACACAGCAACCUCCAUAGUCACAUAGCGACCUCCACAGCCACACAGACGAGACCUCCAUAGUCACACAGCGACCUCUACAGCCACACGGGACUCGACCUCCAUAGCCACACAGCGACCUUCAGAGCCACAUGGACGAGACCUCCAUAGUCACACAGCGACCUCUACAGCCACACGGGACUCGACCUCCAUAGCCACACAGCGACCUCCACAGCCACACGGGACGCGACCUCCAUAGUCACACAGAGACCUCCACGGCCACAUGGACGAGACCUCCAUAGUCACACAGCAACCUCCAUAGUCACACAGCGACCUCCAUAGUCACACAGUAACCUCCAUGGUCACACAGCGACCUCCACAGCCACAUGGGACGCGACCUCCAUAGUCACACAGCGACCUCCACGGCCACAUGGGACGUGACCUCCAUGGUCACAGAGACCUCCACAGCCACAUGGAUGAGACCUCCACAGUCACACAGCGACCUCCAUAGUCACAUAGUGACCUCCAUAGUCACACAGCAACCUCCACAGUCACACAGCGACCUCCACAGCCACACGGGAUGUGACCUCCAUACUCCCACACAGACCUCCAUAGCCACACGGACGAGAGAGACCUCCAUAGUCACACAGCGACCUCCACAGCCACACGGAACGCGACUUCCAUGGUCACAUAGUGACCUCCAUAGUCACACAGUGACCUCCACAGCCACACGGGACGCGACCUCCACAGUCACACAGGAUGCAACCUCCACA